Molecule: ribosomal RNA, 499 nt
Filed under: uncultured Lachnospiraceae bacterium
Lineage: Bacteria; Bacillati; Bacillota; Clostridia; Lachnospirales; Lachnospiraceae
Description: partial 16S ribosomal RNA
Source: RNAcentral
CACGGAGUUAGCCGGGGCUUCUUCCUCGAGUCCUGUCAUGAUCGCGCACUCGACGAAAGAGCUUUACAAGCGGCAUUGCCCUUCUUCACUCACGCGAUAUUGCUGGAUCGGGCUUUCGCCCAUUGUCCAAGAUUCCCCACUGCUGCCUCCCGUAGGAGUUUGGGCCGUGUCUCAGUCCCAAUGUGGCCGGUCACCCUCUCAGGUCGGCUACCGAUCGUCGCCUUGGUGGGCCGUUACCCCACCAACCAGCUGAUCGGACGCGGGUCCAUCCUAUACCACCGGAGUUUUCCGCACUGUCCCAUGCGGGACUGUGCGCUCAUGCGGUAUUAGCAGCCAUUUCUAGCUGUUAUCCCCCAGUAUAGGGCAGGUUACCCACGCGUUACUCACCCGUCCGCCACUAAGUCAUCGCCCCCUCGCCCGAAGGCCUCGAGGACGUGCUUCGUUCGACUUGCAUGUGUUAGCACGCCGCCAGCGUUCAUCCUGACGCCAGGAUCAAACU